Molecule: long non-coding RNA, 1400 nt
Filed under: Homo sapiens (human)
Lineage: Eukaryota; Metazoa; Chordata; Mammalia; Primates; Hominidae
Description: HSALNT0203825
Source: RNAcentral
UUAUUUUAUUUUAUUUUAUUUUGGUGGUGGUGGUGGGGUUAUUCCUAGUGAAAGCUAUGAUUAUUGUGCAGUGGGAGGGGCCCUUUAGUAUCUCGAUGGACAUCACGCUGUAUCACAAUCAGGCCUUGGAUCAUGCAGACACAAAGCAAUGAUUACAUUUCAUUUGUGAUACUAUUAAGGAUAUUUUUCCUGGCUGCAAUAACUCAAAAUAUUUUACUUAUUUCCCACUUCAUGCACAUUGAUUUUUUUGGGUAAUGGUAGCAGAAAAUAUGUGAUUACCAGAGGAACGUCGAUCAAGGCAUUGAGGAGUUAGGAAGGAAUCAUAUGAAGAGAAUACAUGGAGGGAUAUUCUUAAAUGGAGAGGAGAUAUUUCUAUUGAGUCAAAAAGAAAGCAGAAAAAAAGGAAAAUUUGCACACGAAGACGCUGUGUAGACGAAGAUGAUGUGAGGACACAGGAAGAAGAUGGCCCUGAAGCCAUGGAGAAAAGAAGUCUGGAAGAGACUUCCCUCACAGCCCUCAGAGGGAGUCAACCCUGUCAACACCGUGAUUUCAAACUUCUAGUCUACGGAAGUGUGAGACAAUACAUUUCUUUUGUUUAAGCCGCUGAUUUUGUAGUACUUUGUUAUGGUAGCCCUAGUGAACGGAUACAAUUAUGUUUGUUUGUUUUUUUAAAAAUUGCUUUCUGUUUGUGCCAUAUGUAGAAUUCUCAUUUUCAACUUCAACUGUUUUGGACUGGUGAAUAAAUUUUAACUUGUCAUAGCAAUUUUCACCCAAAGCACAAUUUAUAAAGCAUGUAUUGCCAGGUACACAAGAGGUAUUUAAUUUUUCUUUAGAUGUAUUUUUAAAAGGCUUUACAUACUCCUGCAGGAUUGCCAUGAACAUAAAUAAUGCCUGUAAUUGUCUGACACAUAGAAAUGCUCUAUAAAUAUUACGUAAUAUUAUUUUUAAACGUGCUGUCCACAACAGUCUUCUGAGUGUUGUAUGUGGUAAAAGAGACUUUAGAGCAACAGGCUGUAAGACAGAGGAGCCAAAAGAGAGGCUUACAUAUUCCUCAAGCUGUCCACUCUCCUAAAAAUACAAUGUAUCUUGAAUAAUUUAUCUGAAUAAAAACAACACGUGGCUUAAGAAAAGGUUUUGGGUAAUAACUUGUUGAUGUAAAAGACACAUACAGUGGAAAAUAUUCACAAAGCACUAACGUACAAUCUGUGAUUCAGGUCUGUUUCCCUGCCCGCCCCCUGCCCCCAAACCCCCAGUUCUUCUAAAGGAGCACUAGGCUUAUAACCUCUAAUCUUGUGUGAAGCCUUGCUCUCCAGAGUUUCUGUUUACUUCCAUUAUUCCAUGUAGAGCCAUAUAUCUACGGAUUUUAUGCCUACUUGGACACCAGAUAUUCUUGCCUCUCC